AUACGGAGGGAGCUAGCGUUAUUCGGAAUUACUGGGCGUAAAGCGCGCGUAGGCGGUUAUUCAAGUCAGAGGUGAAAGCCUGGAGCUCAACUCCAGAACUGCCUUUGAAACUAGAUAACUAGAAUCUUGGAGAGGCGAGUGGAAUUCCGAGUGUAGAGGUGAAAUUCGUAGAUAUUCGGAAGAACACCAGUGGCGAAGGCGACUCGCUGGACAAGUAUUGACGCUGAGGUGCGAAAGCGUGGGGAGC
Molecule: ribosomal RNA, 247 nt
Filed under: uncultured bacterium
Lineage: Bacteria
Description: partial 16S ribosomal RNA
Rfam family: Bacterial small subunit ribosomal RNA
Source: RNAcentral